Molecule: ribosomal RNA, 345 nt
Filed under: uncultured bacterium
Lineage: Bacteria
Description: partial 16S ribosomal RNA
Rfam family: Bacterial small subunit ribosomal RNA
Source: RNAcentral
CCUACGGGUGGCAGCAGUCGAGAAUCAUUCACAAUGGGGGAAACCCUGAUGGUGCGACGCCGCGUGGGGGAAUGAAGGUCUUCGGAUUGUAAACCCCUGUCAUGUGGGAGCAAAUUAAAAAGAUAGUACCACAAGAGGAAGAGACGGCUAACUCUGUGCCAGCAGCCGCGGUAAUACAGAGGUCUCAAGCGUUGUUCGGAAUCACUGGGCGUAAAGCGUGCGUAGGCUGUUUCGUAAGUCGUGUGUGAAAUGCGCGGGCUCAACCCGCGGGCGGCACAUGAUACUGCGAGACUAGAGUAAUGGAGGGGGAACGGGAAUUCUGGGGGUAGCAGGGAAAUGCGGAGA